Molecule: ribosomal RNA, 500 nt
Filed under: uncultured bacterium
Lineage: Bacteria
Description: partial 16S ribosomal RNA
Rfam family: Bacterial small subunit ribosomal RNA
Source: RNAcentral
AUUGAACGCUGGCGGCAGGCCUAACACAUGCAAGUCGAGCGGAUGAGUGGAGCUUGCUCCAUGAUUCAGCGGCGGACGGGUGAGUAAUGCCUAGGAAUCUGCCUGGUAGUGGGGGACAACGUUUCGAAAGGAACGCUAAUACCGCAUACGUCCUACGGGAGAAAGCAGGGGACCUUCGGGCCUUGCGCUAUCAGAUGGGCCUAGGUCGGAUUAGCUAGUAGGUGAGGUAAAGGCUCCCCUAGGCGACGAUCCGUAACUGGUCUGAGAGGAUGAUCAGUCACACUGGAACUGAGACACGGUCCAGACUCCUACGGGAGGCAGCAGUGGGGAAUAUUGGACAAUGGGCGAAAGCCUGAUCCAGCCAUGCCGCGUGUGUGAAGAAGGUCUUCGGAUUGUAAAGCACUUUAAGUUGGGAGGAAGGGCAGUAAGUUAAUACCUUGCUGUUUUGACGUUACCAACAGAAUAAGCACCGGCUAACUUCGUGCCAGCAGCCGCCGCCG